Molecule: ribosomal RNA, 467 nt
Filed under: uncultured bacterium
Lineage: Bacteria
Description: partial 16S ribosomal RNA
Rfam family: Bacterial small subunit ribosomal RNA
Source: RNAcentral
GACGAACGCUGGCGGCGUGCUUAACACAUGCAAGUCGAACGGAAAGGCCCUGCUUUUGUGGGGUGCUCGAGUGGCGAACGGGUGAGUAACACGUGAGUAACCUGCCCUUGACUUUGGGAUAACUUCAGGAAACUGGGGCUAAUACCGGAUAGGAGCUCCUGCUGCAUGGUGGGGGUUGGAAAGUUUCGGCGGUUGGGGAUGGACUCGCGGCUUAUCAGCUUGUUGGUGGGGUAGUGGCUUACCAAGGCUUUGACGGGUAGCCGGCCUGAGAGGGUGACCGGCCACAUUGGGACUGAGAUACGGCCCAGACUCUUACGGGAGGCAGCAGUGGGGAAUAUUGCACAAUGGGCGGAAGCCUGAUGCAGCAACGCCGCGUGCGGGAUGACGGCCUUCGGGUUGUAAACCGCUUUCGCCUGUGACGAAGCGUGAGUGACGGUAAUGGGUAAAGAAGCACCGGCGAACUACGU